AUUGAACGCUGGCGGCAGGCCUAACACAUGCAAGUCGAACGGUAACAGGAAGAAGCUUGCUUCUUUGCUGACGAGUGGCGGACGGGUGAGUAAUGUCUGGGAAACUGCCUGAUGGAGGGGGAUAACUACUGGAAACGGUAGCUAAUACCGCAUAACGUCGCAAGACCAAAGAGGGGGACCUUCGGGCCUCUUGCCAUCGGAUGUGCCCAGAUGGGAUUAGCUAGUAGGUGGGGUAACGGCUCACCUAGGCGACGAUCCCUAGCUGGUCUGAGAGGAUGACCAGCCACACUGGAAAUGAGACACGGUCCAGACUCCUACGGGAGGCAGCAGUGGGGAAUAUUGCACAAUGGGCGCAAGCCUGAUGCAGCCAUGCCGCGUGUAUGAAGAAGGCCUUCGGGUUGUAAAGUACUUUCAGCGGGGAGGAAGGGAGUAAAGUUAAUACCUUUACUCAUUGACGUUACCCGCAGAAGAAGCACCGGCUAACUCCGUG
RNAcentral lists this ribosomal RNA (490 nucleotides) under uncultured bacterium. Its description in RNAcentral is "partial 16S ribosomal RNA". It matches the Rfam family "Bacterial small subunit ribosomal RNA", at positions 30 to 507 of the family's 1533-position model. The record is from RNAcentral.